This 262-nucleotide long non-coding RNA is filed under the name Gossypium barbadense (sea-island cotton). RNAcentral describes it as "long non-coding RNA (GBAR_LNC023212)". The record is from RNAcentral. Lineage: Eukaryota; Viridiplantae; Streptophyta; Magnoliopsida; Malvales; Malvaceae.
AGUAAUUUACCCAAGAGAAUAUGCUUCCUCUCAAUGGGAUAAACAAGGCAACUCUGUUGACAAGUUGCAGUACUGCUUCAAUAUCUAAGUCCAACCACAAUAUAAAUAAAUCAUUCAGUAGAAGAAAUUGAAGAGCUUAAAAGCUUACUUGUUACAAACAUCUGUUAUUUAUUCCCUCAUCUGCUUUCCUUACAUCAAUCAUUGCCAUCUUUAUUCCCUUCACAAUAAUCUCUAGGUAAAAGGGCACAUCUAUAAAUGUGGA